Capsicum annuum is the source of this 565-nucleotide long non-coding RNA. RefSeq lists it as uncharacterized. The transcript has 2 exons. The record is from RefSeq and is a predicted model, not a curated record. Lineage: Eukaryota; Viridiplantae; Streptophyta; Magnoliopsida; Solanales; Solanaceae.
GCAAAUCUAGUACUAGUAUUCUUAUAUGUAAUCAUAUACCGCGCAUAUAUAUAUAUAUAUAUAUAUAUAUUUAUAUAUAUAUAUAUAUUUAUAUAUAUAUAUAUAUUUAUAUAUAUAUAUAUUUUCGGUAGUAUCAGUUUAUGGGUUAAAAUAAUUUGGCAUCAUUUGAGCAUUAAAUUAAAGAUUAAUUAUCCGAAUCAAUUAUUUCAAGCUCGGGUUCUACUAGUAUUAUUCGGAGGUUUCGCGGACAGAUAUUCUAGCUUUGGCGUCCAGAUCCAGGUACUAGCAGUCGGCGUUGACAUGGUUCUUACCUUUCAGUGCUGGUUUAUAGCAGGGUAAUCUUAAUGUCGUCCGAGGCUGAUCCCCCUGUAUCUACCCUAGUUAGUCUUUUUCACUCGAGAUUACUUGUGUACAUUUUAGAUUUUUGUCUAGUACUCUGGGUACCUGUUAGUAGUGGCUCUAGUACUGACCUUAUCAGGUCUUGGGAGGGAUUCAUUUGUAUAGCUGGUCCUUUUUCCUCCUCUCAUUUUGAUAUAAUACAUAUGCUUUCUUAUUAGUUUUCACC